UGGGGAAUAUUGCACAAUGGGCGCAAGCCUGAUGCAGCCAUGCCGCGUGUGUGAAGAAGGCCUUCGGGUUGUAAAGCACUUUCAGCGGGGAGGAAGGCGUUAAGGUUAAUAACCUUGGCGAUUGACGUUACCCGCAGAAGAAGCACCGGCUAACUCCGUGCCAGCAGCCGCGGUAAUACGGAGGGUGCAAGCGUUAAUCGGAAUUACUGGGCGUAAAGCGCACGCAGGCGGUCUGUCAAGUCGGAUGUGAAAUCCCCGGGCUCAACCUGGGAACUGCAUUCGGAACUGGCAGGCUAGAGUCUUGUAGAGGGGGGUAGAAUUCCAGGUGUAGCGGUGAAAUGCGUAGAGAUCUGGAGGAAUACCGGCGGCGAAGGCGGCCCCCUGGAAAAAGACUGACGCUCAGGUGCGAAAGCGUGGGGAGCAAACAGG
This 429-nucleotide ribosomal RNA is filed under the name Chloroflexota bacterium. Its description in RNAcentral is "Chloroflexi bacterium partial 16S ribosomal RNA". It matches the Rfam family "Bacterial small subunit ribosomal RNA", at positions 355 to 776 of the family's 1533-position model. The record is from RNAcentral. Lineage: Bacteria; Bacillati; Chloroflexota.